GAGACUCUGUGCGCGUGCAUAUCAAUAAGCGGAGGAAAAGAAACUAACAAGGAUUCCCCUAGUAACGGCGAGUGAAGCGGGAAGAGCUCAAAUUUGAAAUCUUCAAGGGUUCUACCUUGACGAAUUGUAGUUUAUAAGAAGUGUUUUCUGUUAGUGGAGUGGCAAAAGUUCUUUGGAAUAGGACAUCAUAGAGGGUGAGAAUCCCGUAUUUGGUCAUUCCUCCUAGCGUUGUGAUACACUUUCAACGAGUCGGAUUGUUUGGGAAUGCAGUCCAAAAUGGGUGGUAAAUUUCAUCUAAAGCUAAAUAUUGGCGAGGGACCGAUAGCGAACAAGUACCGUGAGGGAAAGAUGAAAAGAACUUUGAAAAGAGAGUUAAACAGUACGUGAAAUUGUCAAAAGGGAAGCGUUUGACACCAGUGUUGUUUUCUCGAAAAUCAAUUACAAAUGGUUUGGAUUUUGUGUAGUUAUGACUUCAUCAGCUUUCUGCACUUUCUUUAUAUCUUUCUUAAUGCACUUUUCGUUUAACAAGUCAACAUCAAUUUCUUUUGUUGUAAAAGGGUAUGAGGAAGGUGGCUUUCUUUUCGGAGAAAGUGUUUAUAGCCUUGUGCCUCUGCAAUCGGAGAGAUUGAGGUCUGCAGCGUAGAUCCUUCGGGGUUAGAUACGUAGAUGCUAAGUUAUAGUUUUUUAUAGACAACUUGUUGACUAUGAUUAAUCAUGUAGCUUACUCGUUUACGCUAUUUUACCUACGCUUAGGAUGUUGACAGCAGUAUAGACUGU
This 777-nucleotide ribosomal RNA is filed under the name uncultured Neocallimastigales. Its description in RNAcentral is "partial large subunit ribosomal RNA". It matches the Rfam family "Eukaryotic large subunit ribosomal RNA", at positions 23 to 633 of the family's 3401-position model. Lineage: Eukaryota; Fungi; Neocallimastigomycota; Neocallimastigomycetes; Neocallimastigales. The record is from RNAcentral.